This 23-nucleotide small nuclear RNA is filed under the name Arabidopsis thaliana (thale cress). RNAcentral's name for it is "snRNA_17323". The record is from RNAcentral. Lineage: Eukaryota; Viridiplantae; Streptophyta; Magnoliopsida; Brassicales; Brassicaceae.
CCGGAUGUGUUCUGGGAACUCGG